Molecule: ribosomal RNA, 468 nt
Filed under: uncultured bacterium
Lineage: Bacteria
Description: partial 16S ribosomal RNA
Rfam family: Bacterial small subunit ribosomal RNA
Source: RNAcentral
GACGAACGCUGGCGGCGUGCUUAGCACAUGCAAGUCGAACGGAAAGGCCCUGCUUUUGUGGGGUGCUCGAGUGGCGAACGGGUGAGUAACACGUGAGUAACCUGCCCUUGACUUUGGGAUAACUUCAGGAAACUGGGGCUAAUACCGGAUAGGAGCUCCUGCUGCAUGGCGGGGGUUGGAAAGUUUCGGCGGUUGGGGAUGGACUCGCGGCUUAUCAGCUUGUUGGUGGGGUAGUGGCUUACCAAGGCUUUGACGGGUAGCCGGCCUCAGAGGGUGACCGGCCACAUUGGGACUGAGAUACGGCCCAGACUCCUACGGGAGGCAGCAGUGGGGAAUAUUGCACAAUGGGCGGAAGCCUGAUGCAGCAACGCCGCGUGCGGGAUGACGGCCUUCGGGUUGUAAACCGCUUUCGCCUGUGACGAAGCGUGAGUGACGGUAAUGGGUAAAGAAGCACCGGCUAACUACGUG